Molecule: ribosomal RNA, 2634 nt
Filed under: Escherichia coli
Lineage: Bacteria; Pseudomonadati; Pseudomonadota; Gammaproteobacteria; Enterobacterales; Enterobacteriaceae
Description: partial 23S ribosomal RNA
Rfam family: Bacterial large subunit ribosomal RNA
Source: RNAcentral
GGUUAAGCGACUAAGCGUACACGGUGGAUGCCCUGGCAGUCAGAGGCGAUGAAGGACGUGCUAAUCUGCGAUAAGCGUCGGUAAGGUGAUAUGAACCGUUAUAACCGGCGAUUUCCGAAUGGGGAAACCCAGUGUGUUUCGACACACUAUCAUUAACUGAAUCCAUAGGUUAAUGAGGCGAACCGGGGGAACUGAAACAUCUAAGUACCCCGAGGAAAAGAAAUCAACCGAGAUUCCCCCAGUAGCGGCGAGCGAACGGGGAGCAGCCCAGAGCCUGAAUCAGUGUGUGUGUUAGUGGAAGCGUCUGGAAAGGCGCGCGAUACAGGGUGACAGCCCCGUACACAAAAAUGCACAUGCUGUGAGCUCGAUGAGUAGGGCGGGACACGUGGUAUCCUGUCUGAAUAUGGGGGGACCAUCCUCCAAGGCUAAAUACUCCUGACUGACCGAUAGUGAACCAGUACCGUGAGGGAAAGGCGAAAAGAACCCCGGCGAGGGGAGUGAAAAAGAACCUGAAACCGUGUACGUACAAGCAGUGGGAGCACGCUUAGGCGUGUGACUGCGUACCUUUUGUAUAAUGGGUCAGCGACUUAUAUUCUGUAGCAAGGUUAACCGAAUAGGGGAGCCGAAGGGAAACCGAGUCUUAACUGGGCGUUAAGUUGCAGGGUAUAGACCCGAAACCCGGUGAUCUAGCCAUGGGCAGGUUGAAGGUUGGGUAACACUAACUGGAGGACCGAACCGACUAAUGUUGAAAAAUUAGCGGAUGACUUGUGGCUGGGGGUGAAAGGCCAAUCAAACCGGGAGAUAGCUGGUUCUCCCCGAAAGCUAUUUAGGUAGCGCCUCGUGAAUUCAUCUCCGGGGGUAGAGCACUGUUUCGGCAAGGGGGUCAUCCCGACUUACCAACCCGAUGCAAACUGCGAAUACCGGAGAAUGUUAUCACGGGAGACACACGGCGGGUGCUAACGUCCGUCGUGAAGAGGGAAACAACCCAGACCGCCAGCUAAGGUCCCAAAGUCAUGGUUAAGUGGGAAACGAUGUGGGAAGGCCCAGACAGCCAGGAUGUUGGCUUAGAAGCAGCCAUCAUUUAAAGAAAGCGUAAUAGCUCACUGGUCGAGUCGGCCUGCGCGGAAGAUGUAACGGGGCUAAACCAUGCACCGAAGCUGCGGCAGCGACACUAUGUGUUGUUGGGUAGGGGAGCGUUCUGUAAGCCUGUGAAGGUGUACUGUGAGGUAUGCUGGAGGUAUCAGAAGUGCGAAUGCUGACAUAAGUAACGAUAAAGCGGGUGAAAAGCCCGCUCGCCGGAAGACCAAGGGUUCCUGUCCAACGUUAAUCGGGGCAGGGUGAGUCGACCCCUAAGGCGAGGCCGAAAGGCGUAGUCGAUGGGAAACAGGUUAAUAUUCCUGUACUUGGUGUUACUGCGAAGGGGGGACGGAGAAGGCUAUGUUGGCCGGGCGACGGUUGUCCCGGUUUAAGCGUGUAGGCUGGUUUUCCAGGCAAAUCCGGAAAAUCAAGGCUGAGGCGUGAUGACGAGGCACUACGGUGCUGAAGCAACAAAUGCCCUGCUUCCAGGAAAAGCCUCUAAGCAUCAGGUAACAUCAAAUCGUACCCCAAACCGACACAGGUGGUCAGGUAGAGAAUACCAAGGCGCUUGAGAGAACUCGGGUGAAGGAACUAGGCAAAAUGGUGCCGUAACUUCGGGAGAAGGCACGCUGAUAUGUAGGUGAAGUCCCUCGCGGAUGGAGCUGAAAUCAGUCGAAGAUACCAGCUGGCUGCAACUGUUUAUUAAAAACACAGCACUGUGCAAACACGAAAGUGGACGUAUACGGUGUGACGCCUGCCCGGUGCCGGAAGGUUAAUUGAUGGGGUCAGCGCAAGCGAAGCUCUUGAUCGAAGCCCCGGUAAACGGCGGCCGUAACUAUAACGGUCCUAAGGUAGCGAAAUUCCUUGUCGGGUAAGUUCCGACCUGCACGAAUGGCGUAAUGAUGGCCAGGCUGUCUCCACCCGAGACUCAGUGAAAUUGAACUCGCUGUGAAGAUGCAGUGUACCCGCGGCAAGACGGAAAGACCCCGUGAACCUUUACUAUAGCUUGACACUGAACAUUGAGCCUUGAUGUGUAGGAUAGGUGGGAGGCUUUGAAGUGUGGACGCCAGUCUGCAUGGAGCCGACCUUGAAAUACCACCCUUUAAUGUUUGAUGUUCUAACGUUGACCCGUAAUCCGGGUUGCGGACAGUGUCUGGUGGGUAGUUUGACUGGGGCGGUCUCCUCCUAAAGAGUAACGGAGGAGCACGAAGGUUGGCUAAUCCUGGUCGGACAUCAGGAGGUUAGUGCAAUGGCAUAAGCCAGCUUGACUGCGAGCGUGACGGCGCGAGCAGGUGCGAAAGCAGGUCAUAGUGAUCCGGUGGUUCUGAAUGGAAGGGCCAUCGCUCAACGGAUAAAAGGUACUCCGGGGAUAACAGGCUGAUACCGCCCAAGAGUUCAUAUCGACGGCGGUGUUUGGCACCUCGAUGUCGGCUCAUCACAUCCUGGGGCUGAAGUAGGUCCCAAGGGUAUGGCUGUUCGCCAUUUAAAGUGGUACGCGAGCUGGGUUUAGAACGUCGUGAGACAGUUCGGUCCCUAUCUGCCGUGGGCGCUGGAGAA